AUGAGGAUGCAAGAGCCCAAGCCGGAGUACCUUUGCCCAACCUUUGCCCACUUGUGCAUAGUUGGCAUAAUUACCAAAGUGAUCCACCUGAGAGUGAAGCAUUUUUUGGUUCAAACAAAAGCAGAACUUCAUGAUACAUUGGUGAAGACCCAUGCAGAACACCUUGAUUGUGUGGUGGAAGUAGAGAACCAGAUUGAUGAGAAUGCCAACUUUCAUAGAACUAUAAGUAUGUUCGUUGAUAAUACUGCAACCCACUAUCUGGAUUAUCUUCUCGGGGGUCUGUAUUCUAGCACUACGAGUGAUUUAGAUCGCACGUACAAUACGAAAAUUCAUGCAAUAGAGUACAUGUUGUACAGAAUCCAGCUUUCUGCACCUCGUACUUCAGGAAUUUCAGAUAGCAGUUGUUUCCAUGAAGGCUUCAUUCUGAAGCUACGUAUGGAUGACAACAUUGUAGGAUUUGGUGAGGUUGCACCAAUCGAAAUUCACCAGGAGGAUAUAAUAGAUGUUGAAGAGCAACUUAGAUUUCUGUUUCACAGAGUGAAAGAUUGUGAGCUAGAUGUUGUUCCUUUGUUGAGAGGGUCUUUCUCCAAUUGGAUAUGGACAAGCAUUGGGAUUCCUCCUUCUUCUAUAUUUCCAUGUGUCAAGUGUGGUCUGGAGAUGGCUAUUCUUAAUUUGCUGGCAUCACAGCGGAAAUGUAGAUUAUCUGAAAUUCUCACUGGUUCCAACCCCUUAGUAAGAGAUCAGAGUCUGGUGGAAUAUAAUCAGAACAGUUCUGCAGGCAUACAUAUCUGUGCACUCUUAGACUCCGACGGUACUCCGAUGGAGGUAGCACUUGCUGUGACUAAACUUGUUGAUGAAGGCUUUACCACAGUGAAACUGAAGGUUGGACGUCGUGCAAGUCCUGCUGAAGAUGCAGCUGUUAUUCAAAAAACAAGAGAGGUUGUAGGAUAUAAGAUCAAUAUCCGUGCCGAUGCAAAUGGAAAAUGGACAUACAAGCAAGCAAUUGAAUUUGGAUCCAGAGUAAAAAGCCUUUGUUUGCAAUACAUUGAGGAACCAGUGAGCUCUGUACAUGAUCUCAUCAAGUUCUGUGAAAACAGUGGUUUGCCUGUUGCUUUAGACGAGAGUAUCGACAACCUUAAGGGGGAUCCAAUCCAAAAGCUUCAUCAAUUUGUACAUCCAGGGAUAGUUGCUGUUGUUAUAAAACCCAGUGUUGUUGGCGGCUUUGAGAAUGCAGCUCAUAUAGCAAAGUGGGCUCACAUGCAUGAUAAGAUGGCUAUCAUCAGUAGUGCGUACGAGAGUUCUGUAGGUUUGGCGACCUACAUACAGUUUGCAUAUUAUGUUGACAGGCAACAUGACCUAAUCUCCAGAUUAAAGAGAUAUGAUUCAUGGGGAACUGUGGCUCAUGGGUUUGGAACAUAUCAAUGGUUAACAGAAGAUGUAUCAGAACAAAAGUUACAAAUUCUUGUUCCCCCGCUUGGUGAUGGAAUGGGAGCUUCAGUGGAAGAUGCCCAUGGCUAUCUCCACCACUUAAAUAUAAAUGAUGAGAAGAUUGAAAAAACAUAUAGUGAAGAAAAAUUAAACUCAUAUGCUAUCGAAGUCGAUGGGAAUCAUUUUUCUUAUGUAGUUAAGGUUCAAGAGGCUGGUGAUUGCACAAAUGAUAAGGUCGUUCUUUUUCUUCAUGGAUUUCUUGGCACAAGUGAGGACUGGACUCCCAUGAUGAAAGCUCUCUCUCCCAGUGCACGGGUCAUCGCCGUUGAUCUUCCUGGCCAUGGAGAGUCCCAAAUUCUGCAACGCGAUGAUGGAAAUUUCAAUCAAAUCUCUCUUACAAUUCAAUCAGUUGCAGACCUGUUGCUGAAGUUGAUAUGCGAUAUAACUGAUGGAGAGGUGGUUGUUGUUGGCUACUCAAUGGGUGCAAGGAUUGCACUCCAGAUGAUACUAAAUGAAAAUCACAAGAUUAGUGGAGCUGUUUUGAUAUCGGGGAGUCCUGGACUGAGACAUGAAGCAAGUAGAAGACGACGUACUGCUAUUGAUAAAUCACGAGCUCAAUUCCUGUUGACUUAUGGACUGGAAUGUUUUAUCAAGACAUGGUACUCUGGAAAAAUGUGGACCAGUCUAAGAGAACACCCACAGUUUGAUUCCCUAGUGAGGACACGCAGAAAACACAGUAACAUCACAGAUCUAUCUAAGGUUCUGGCUGACUCGAGCAUAGGGAGACAAAAGUCCCUGUGGGAAGACCUGAAACACUUGGAGAAGCCUGUCCUCAUCGUUGCAGGUGAGAAGGACGUAAAAUUUAAAGAGAUAGCGGAGCGAAUGUGCAGCGAGACAAGAGAGAACGGCGAACGUGAAGCUGAUUGUCGUAGCAAUCAGGAGCUAUGUGAAAUGAUCGUUGUCCCGGAGAGUGGCCAUGCUGUGCAUGUUGAGAACCCUCUCCCCUUAGUUAGAGCCGUGAGGAAGUUCUUGGUAAGGCUACACCAGCCUUGA
RNAcentral lists this ribosomal RNA (2481 nucleotides) under Triticum aestivum (bread wheat). RNAcentral's name for it is "partial small subunit ribosomal RNA". The record is from RNAcentral. Lineage: Eukaryota; Viridiplantae; Streptophyta; Magnoliopsida; Poales; Poaceae.